GAAAACGCGGUGAAGAGAAGAGUAGAUGAACGGGCAGCCUUGCAGAGAGCUCCGGCAGCUGUGAAGGAGCAGGCCGCCCGUCAUUGAAGCAAGCCUCCGAGCGGCGCAUCGGAAGAGGGGUCCUCAUUCCUCGGAUGGUGCGACAGGAGCUCCUGUUACAGAGCUAGGGUAUAAGCAUGCGUACAUGCCGUACCCGAAGAGGCGGAUGUAGCGAUAGAUCCGCGAACCGGGGUGGCACCGCGAAAUACAAUCUCGUCCCCAAG
RNAcentral lists this non-coding RNA (263 nucleotides) under Paenibacillus rhizosphaerae. RNAcentral describes it as "T-box sequence". It matches the Rfam family "T-box leader". From Rfam's summary of the family: Uncharged tRNA acts as the effector for transcription antitermination of genes in the T-box leader family. T-boxes are found upstream of many aminoacyl-tRNA synthetase genes and some amino acid biosynthetic genes usually in Gram-positive bacteria. Lineage: Bacteria; Bacillati; Bacillota; Bacilli; Caryophanales; Paenibacillaceae. The record is from RNAcentral.